This is an RNA transcript of Mus musculus (house mouse), 1857 nucleotides long. It is a transcript of the gene named nucleobindin 2, with no coding region annotated. The record is from RefSeq and is marked validated. NCBI's taxonomy places the organism in Eukaryota, Metazoa, Chordata, Mammalia, Rodentia, Muridae. The transcript has 15 exons.
CAGUCACCAUGGCAACCAGGAGGCGGGCACGCAUUAGGCUGUGGAUCAGAGCAAGGCGGAGGGCCGUGGGCAGGGAAAACUGGUGUGCUCGCGGCGGGCAUCAGUCGGCUUAGCCUCGCGCGCCGGGACCCUGCAGAGAAGAACACACCAGUCAGUUUUUCAAGGGAAAAUCCUGGGCCAGGAGCCAAGUCCUGAUCUCUACAAACUUAAUAUUGUGUAGAUUAUUUUACCACCUGAGAUCUCAGUGGCCUCAUCUGUGCAAGAAAGAGAAAAUUAAAUAAUAAAAAAGAUAAAACCUUGGCCUGUCUGAAGAUGAGGUGGAGGAUCAUCCAAGUACAGUACUGUUUUCUCUUGGUUCCGUGCAUGCUGACCGCUCUGGAAGCUGUUCCUAUCGAUGUGGACAAGACCAAAGUACACAACACUGAGCCAGUGGAAAAUGCAAGGAUAGAGCCACCAGAUACUGGACUUUAUUAUGAUGAAUACCUCAAGCAAGUGAUUGAAGUCUUGGAAACAGAUCCACAUUUCAGAGAAAAGCUCCAGAAAGCAGACAUAGAGGAGAUAAGGAGCGGGAGGCUGAGUCAAGAGCUGGACUUAGUAAGUCACAAAGUGAGGACGAGACUGGAUGAGCUGAAGAGGCAAGAAGUAGGAAGACUGCGGAUGCUCAUCAAAGCUAAGCUGGAUGCCCUUCAAGACACUGGCAUGAAUCACCACCUUCUUCUGAAGCAGUUUGAACACCUGAACCACCAGAAUCCUAACACAUUUGAAUCCAGAGAUUUGGAUAUGCUAAUCAAAGCAGCUACCGCGGAUCUGGAGCAAUAUGACCGGACUCGGCAUGAAGAGUUUAAGAAGUACGAGAUGAUGAAGGAACACGAGCGGAGAGAGUAUUUAAAAACGCUGAGUGAGGAGAAGAGGAAAGAAGAAGAGUCUAAGUUUGAAGAGAUGAAGAGGAAGCACGAAGACCACCCCAAAGUUAAUCAUCCCGGAAGCAAAGAUCAACUAAAAGAGGUUUGGGAAGAGACUGAUGGAUUGGACCCUAAUGACUUUGACCCCAAGACAUUUUUCAAAUUACAUGAUGUUAACAACGAUGGAUUCCUGGAUGAACAAGAAUUAGAAGCACUAUUCACAAGAGAGUUGGAGAAAGUGUAUAACCCACAAAAUGCAGAGGACGAUAUGAUAGAAAUGGAAGAGGAGAGGCUCAGGAUGAGAGAACACGUCAUGAGUGAGGGUACAAGAAGGUAGGGCUGGCUCAGCUGAGCUUGUGCCUAGCGUGCUUUGGCUCUUCCGUGUCCUAUAUUCCCAGGCUUCAGGAGCGAUCCCUCACUGGAUGACAUAAGGAACAUGAGCAGCUCAAGGCCCGAUCAUGGAGUAUUGAUAACAACAAAGACCGAUUGGUGACUCUGGAGGAAUUCCUGAGAGCUACAGAGAAGAAAGAAUUCCUGGAGCCUGAUAGCUGGGAGACACUGGACCAGCAACAGUUAUUCACCGAGGACGAGCUUAAAGAGUAUGAAAGCAUUAUUGCUAUCCAAGAGAACGAGCUUAAGAAGAGGGCGGAAGAGCUGCAGAAACAGAAGGAGGAUCUGCAGCGGCAGCACGACCACCUCGAGGCGCAGAAGCAGGAGUAUCAUCAGGCCGUCCAGCACCUGGAACAGAAGAAACUUCAACAAGGCAUUGCUCCAUCAGGGCCAGCGGGAGAGCUGAAGUUUGAGCCACACACAUAAAGUCCUGAUGUCUGCCAGAACUUGGAAGAAAACCGUUGAUUCAACAUCUAUUUCAUCUUUCAACAUCCUUUCUUUUCUCUCCACUCAAUAAAUACUUUAAAGCACAUUUGGAAUAAAGGAAGAGACUUUUAAGUGAGAA